AAGACUAUAGACCUGCGGAGUACCUGCGGAAGGAUCAUUACAGAGUUGCAAAACUCCCUAAACCAUUGUGAACGUUACCUAAACCGUUGCUUCGGCGGGCGGCGCGCCCUCGCGCGCGCCCCUGGGCCCCACCGCGGGCGCCCGCCGGAGGUCACCAAACUCUUGAUAUUAAUUGGCCUCUCUGAGUCUUCUGUACUGAAUAAGUCAAAACUUUCAGCAACGGAUCUCUAGAUCGGAAGA
Molecule: unclassified non-coding RNA, 240 nt
Filed under: soil metagenome
Description: partial contains 5.8S ribosomal RNA, internal transcribed spacer 2, and large subunit ribosomal RNA
Source: RNAcentral